Molecule: ribosomal RNA, 889 nt
Filed under: Takayama helix
Lineage: Eukaryota; Dinophyceae; Gymnodiniales; Kareniaceae
Description: LSU rRNA
Rfam family: Eukaryotic large subunit ribosomal RNA
Source: RNAcentral
AAAAUAGGAUUCCCUCAGUAAUGGCGAAUGAACAGGGAUCAGCUCAGCAUGGAAAUUGGGGCCUCUGGCCUUGAAUUGUAGUCUUGAGAUGGCUUCGCCAGCGGAGGCGCAGAUGUAAGCCUCUUGGAAAAGAGCAUCAAUGAGGGUGAGAGUCCCGUUUGUCAUCUGCAGUCCCCCGUGCACGGCUUGCUUUCUAAGAGUCACGUUCCUUGGGAUUGGAGCGCAAAUUGGGUGGUAAAUUUCAUCUAAAGCUAAAUAUUGGUUCGAGACCGAUAGCAAACAAGUACCAUGAGGGAAAGGUGAAAAGGACUUUGAAAAGAGAGUUAAAAGUGCCUGAAAUUGCUGAAAGGGAAGCGAAUGGAACCAGUUUUUCUUGGCGAGAUUGUUGCGUGCUAAUGUGAUGGCUUGUUGCUUCAACGCAAGUGUUGCAGCGGGUUUUGAUCUGGACGUGCGCGGUGCUUCUUGCCUUGUGUGUCAACGUCGGUUCAGACUUGAGGAAAACUCCAGGGACAUGGUAAGUCACUUCUGGGUGACUGAAAGUGCUUGGCAGAACUCAUUUCUGAACUGAACUCCGCAUGUCUGGUCGCAGUGCUCUCAUUUCCCAUGUCUCGUUCGGAGCUUUGCGCUCUGACCUGGGCUGGGGCGUGGGGCAUCUCCCUGACAUCAGUACGAUGACAAAAUGGUUUUAUUCGACCCGUCUUGAAACACGGACCAAGGAGUCUAACAUAUGUGCAAGUUCACGGGUGUUAAACCUGCUUGCGCAAUGAAAGUGACUGCUGGGAUAUUUGCACCAGCAACCGACCAAUCAAUUGUGAGAGGUUUGAGUAUGAGCAUAUCUGUUAGGACCCGAAAGAUGGUGAACUAUGCCUGAGAAGGGCGAAGUCAGGGG